GCCUUCGUGGUGUAAUGGGGAACACACAUGGCGCGUAUUCGAGAGGUCCGAGGUUCGAAUCCCGGCGAGGGCA
Molecule: transfer RNA, 73 nt
Filed under: Stegodyphus mimosarum
Lineage: Eukaryota; Metazoa; Arthropoda; Arachnida; Araneae; Eresidae
Rfam family: tRNA
About the family: Transfer RNA (tRNA) molecules are approximately 80 nucleotides in length. Their secondary structure includes four short double-helical elements and three loops (D, anti-codon, and T loops). Further hydrogen bonds mediate the characteristic L-shaped molecular structure. tRNAs have two regions of fundamental functional importance: the anti-codon, which is responsible for specific mRNA codon recognition, and the 3' end, to which the tRNAs corresponding amino acid is attached (by aminoacyl-tRNA synthetases). tRNAs cope with the degeneracy of the genetic code in two manners: having more than one tRNA (with a specific anti-codon) for a particular amino acid; and 'wobble' base-pairing, i.e. permitting non-standard base-pairing at the 3rd anti-codon position.
Source: Rfam by way of RNAcentral